Molecule: ribosomal RNA, 253 nt
Filed under: uncultured bacterium
Lineage: Bacteria
Description: partial 16S ribosomal RNA
Rfam family: Bacterial small subunit ribosomal RNA
Source: RNAcentral
UACGGGGGGGGCAAGCGUUGUUCGGAAUUACUGGGCGUAAAGGGCUCGUAGGUGGCCAACUAAGUCAGACGUGAAAUCCCUCGGCUUAACCGGGGAACUGCGUCUGAUACUGGAUGGCUUGAGUUUGGGAGAGGGAUGCGGAAUUCCAGGUGUAGCGGUGAAAUGCGUAGAUAUCUGGAAGAACACCAGUGGCGAAGGCGGCCUUCUGGACUGACACUGACGCUGAGGCGCGAAAGCUGGGGGAGCAAACAGG